Nilaparvata lugens (brown planthopper) is the source of this 742-nucleotide long non-coding RNA. RefSeq lists it as uncharacterized. NCBI's taxonomy places the organism in Eukaryota, Metazoa, Arthropoda, Insecta, Hemiptera, Delphacidae. The transcript is spliced from 2 exons. The record is from RefSeq and is a predicted model, not a curated record.
AGAUACAUUCAAUUGAAACGAAUUUUGAUUAGGAAUCAAAUUUCAUUUCAUUUUCUUUUAUAAUAUGGCAAAUAAGUAUUAACAUUUAGAAAGAAGAAUAAAAACAAAGAGAGCAUUUAUUUAUUUGUGCUUACUCAGCCAACUCUGGGUGAGCACCCAGCCAGUGCGAGGCAUUGGGAGAGGGGAGAAAUCAUUUUCUCCUUAUUCAGUUGUCGGCAAGCAGCCCUAGGUUUAUCAACAACUCUACGAUGUGAUUAUUCAUUUCAAGUUUCUAUUUUGUAAAGUGAUUUUGAAUUUUUCGACAUAUGAAGAUAUUUGUAUAUAAGCUAUACUCAAACCCACUAUUGAAGCGGUCCAAGUUUGUGGCAAACUAAUUUAUGAUUGACUAUGGAAGAAGGAUCCUUGUUAAUGCCAAAUCAAUCCACAGUUGUGAAUAGGAGACAAGGGACUCCAAGUGCAUCAUAUGAGGAACAGGUUAGAACGGAUAUGGAGGAUAGGGAAUAAUUGCCAAGCUGUGUUUUCUUUUAAGCAAUUAUGGAACAUCAUUACCAAAUACUCGGCGACGUAACUCGGUACCGAGGUAAUGUGACGAUCAAAUUAUAUUUUCCGGCAUUGGGAUUCGUGAGAGACUUUAUUAAACAAAUAUAUGGGCCCAUCAUCUAUUUAGAAUAAGGAUAUUGUCAUGUAUAUGAAAUUUUGUGAAGUGGUAAUCCUUUUUUUUAAUAAUGAAUUUCUAAACAUU